Molecule: long non-coding RNA, 3015 nt
Organism: Numida meleagris (helmeted guineafowl)
Lineage: Eukaryota; Metazoa; Chordata; Aves; Galliformes; Numididae
Exons: 5
Source: RefSeq, a predicted model, not a curated record
CUGGUAUGUCAGCUGUUGUUGCACAAGCUCUGGCUGCCGUUUCCUGAGGUUACUGCAACCUGCAGUUCUGGACCUGCAGUGCACAAAGCAAGAAAAGCCUUCUGUGUCCGUGCAGAGCCCUGCUGCAGGCACCUGAUGUAAAGCACACAGAGUCUGGGGGCAAGAGGAGAAGUCAACGCGUGCACCCGUAAUUUUUGGUGUUUUGCAGCAAUGCGAGUAAGUGCCGGUGUUUGUCCUCACCCCUCUCCCUCGGCCCUGCUGUUCUGAACCGAGGGGAGGCGCUGGAUCCGCGGCGGGUGCCAAACGGGCUGCAGAGCUCGUGGCCAUUCGUUUCUGCAAAAUCACCCGGGUAAUGCAGGCUCCAGUGCCGAUGCAGUUUAUAUAGAAACUCCAACCGAGGCGAGAGGAUUUCUCACUCCUUAUUAUGCAAGCGGAAUGAAACAGCUUUCAUCUCAUUUUCCAAAGGGUGCUGAAUGCCACGAGGGCCCGGUGGCAACGCACAAAAGAAAGGAAGGCCGUCGCACGCCGCAGAACUGCAAGGAAAGGCGACGCUGCGCUCCGCGGGCCGUCUUCGCCGUGAGGAGCCCCGAGGCGUCCCGCGGUCUGCUGUUCUCUGACUGGAGCCUGUACUGCACGUGAAGAAAGGAAGAGAAAAGUAAAUGGAACAGAACCCACAGCCACGUCCUUUCCUUCUUGUGCGGAAGGGCUGGCCUGCCUCCUCCAGCACACAGACCAGCUGCAGAACAUACCAGGAAGCUGCCACUGGUCCUGAGCACGUUCACCGGAGUCUUGAGAGUCUGCUGUGCCACAGCUGGAUGCUCAUCCAUCCAAGAACCAGGCUUUUCUCUGCCUUUCCACAGCCCACAGUGCAGUCAGGAAGCAAAGCAUGCUAAGGGAUAUUAGCAACUGCCAAGCUGCCAGAGUUACCACAAGGCCUGACGACACGCUGCUCCUGUGCCAGGCAGGACGGGUCUGUGGGCUUGUCUGUACUGCUGGAAAACAAGCUGCGAGGAACGAGCACGCACAAGCAAUCUGCAGGCCAGGAUCGCAAAACUCCAUUUGGAUCAUCUGUCAUCCCCAGUCUGCCUACGUUGUUAUUCUGUAGCUGCAGAUCUCAAGAUGAUGAACAAUGCUGGAUACUCAUCAACCUUAUUUCAAAAACGGAGUAACUAUGAUGUAAUGAGAUUAAGAAAUGUGCUUGAUACCAUUAAACGAAUUAGCAUCCAUAUAAAGAUUAGAAAACAUUUCCCUAUUCCUGGCACCGCUCGUAAUCCGCUGGACAAGAGCGUCCAAACCACUUCUUACUGCCAUUCGCUGCUUCAGCAAAUCGGUGCACUGAAGGAGGCAUUAAUUCACUCUUCAGGGCUUUUUAAGAAACUUUAAUAUGACUGAAAGAGGACUUCAGAUGCUGCAGAGAAGAGGCACUUUAGGGACUGAAAUUCAAUCUGCAAAAGCUCAUACAAAUUCAAAACCAGGAGUAUCGUAUUUAUGCAGAGCUGAUGCUCUAUGCAUAUAGAAGUGUGGGUUUUGGUAGACCCUGUAAGCUUCAGGGAGCUGUUGAAGGGAAUAAAAUACAAGUAUACAGCCAUGAUAUUUUAUUAUGUUUCCUUUCUUAGGCCUUUUUGGGGGUUAUCAAAUCUUUGGUGAGCAUUUGGCAUAUGGUUAAGUAAACUCACGAGGAAAAUGUGAAGGUAGGAAAUUGAAGCAACUGGUGAUGCAAAUUCUGUAAUUUUCAUAGUUAUCCACUGGGGACUUCUCAGGUCCUUUGUGUUACCAGAAGUCAAGUUUUACAGUCAGAAUGUACACGGUCUCUUUAUGAUUUCCUUGUGAUGGUGCAGUUGUUCCAGAUGGAUAUCAGUUCAAUUAAGAGCAAAGAAUGACUUGAGCUAUAUUCAGUGAAUUUGGAAGCAUGCUUGACAUCAAAUUUCUUUGCCUCUGGUGGUUUUUUUUAAGCACCCAUACAAUGCACUAUUUUAAUUUUUUAAAAAACUCCUAUAAAUAAAACAUAUGAAGGAAAACACUGCUAGAUUAUUCUUUUCUUCUUGUUUUAGAACCUUUGAAAAUAAGCUUAUAAUUCUAACACAUCUCUAACGUCCAUGCCUUCCAAGAUAUUCUGGAACUUUCUCUUUGCAACACAGCAUGGAGGAGGCUGAGGAUAAGUGGUUGCAAGUUUACACAUUAUAAGAGAUGUGAUGUGAGCUUGUAAUUCAGGUUCUGUGUCAUCUGUGGGAAAAACCAUAGAAUGCUCAUCUCUACUCCUUGCACACACCCAGAUGUGGUAUCAGAUUCUGAUCUCUUUAAUCAUUAAAACUUUUCAUUAUUAUUUGAAUCAGCAUGCUGUAUGGAGAGAUUCAUUGCAGAACAGAAUGUUACUAUGCCGUGUGUUCCCAUCUCUUUCUGCUCUGUACUGGUAAAUGCCUGAAAGUCUUCAGUUACUACAUGAUAUUCCAUACAAACCUGACUUCAAAAGUAAAUGAAGGAUCAUCUUGCAGUCGUGCUCCUACCAGCAGUGCUCUGUUAUAAAGCUUUUUCUUUUACAGCCAAGUGGGCAAGUGCUUGUAACUACUGGUGAGUGGAGCUCCCCUAGGCUGGGGCGGGGGUCAGUGGGGACAGCGAAGGUGUGGUUUUUCAUUCUUGUAUUUCUGCAAGAUGAUUCUGAAAGGUAUUGUCUAAUGAUUUACAAAUCACAAACGGGGUUACAGGGUUCCUACCUACGUGAAACUACAUGAUUCAUGGAAAGAUGCAAUACACCUUACACGUUCUACAGGAUGAAGUCAUUAGAACCCAUCACAUCAUUUUAGUGUCUGAUAGCAUUAGCUUUCAGAAAGUGUGCUUAGAUUAGCUUUCAGAAAGUGUGAAGUCAUAGGCUUCUGUGGCAUCUCUACUGUUUGAUGAGAAAAGCAGGAGCUAGGCACAGAAGUAUUGGACUGCAUCAUGAGAAGCGUGGCCACAGGUCAAGGAGCUGAUCCUGCCCCUCUGCUCUGUGCUGUGAGACCUCACCUGGAGCACUGCGUC